AAUGAACGCUGGCGGCAUGGAUUAGGCAUGCAAGUCGAACGGUGAAGCGGGACUUGUCCCGUGGAUCAGUGGCGAAAGGGUGAGUAACACGUGAGCAACCUGCCCCUGUGUCCGGAAUAGCCUCUGGAAACGGAGAUUAAUACCGGAUGUGGAUGGGAGCCUCCUGGCUCCUUCUCUAAAGAUUUAUCGCACAGGGAUGGGCUCGCGUCCCAUUAGCUUGUUGGUGAGGUAACGGCUCACCAAGGCUUUGACGGGUAGGUGGUCUGAGAGGAUGGUCACCCACACUGGGACUGAGACACUGCCCAGACUCCUACGGGAGGCUGCAGUCGAGAAUCUUCCGCAAUGGGCGAAAGCCUGACGAGCAAUGCCGCGUGAGGGAGAAGGUUUUGGGUUGUAAACCCCUUUUGUCAAGGAAGAAGCUCUGACGGUACUUGACGAAUAAGCCUCGGCUAACUCCGUGCCAGCCG
This 467-nucleotide ribosomal RNA is filed under the name uncultured bacterium. RNAcentral's name for it is "bacterial SSU rRNA". It matches the Rfam family "Bacterial small subunit ribosomal RNA", at positions 29 to 514 of the family's 1533-position model. The record is from RNAcentral.